AACGAACGCUGGCGGCAGGCCUAACACAUGCAAGUCGAACGAAAAGCCCCCUUACGGGGGGUGGAAAGUGGCAGACGGGUGAGUAACGCGUGGGAACCUACCCAAGGGUACGGAAUAACCCAGGGAAACUUGGGCUAAUACCGUAUACGUCCCCCUUUGGAGACAUUGGGGGAGAAAGAUUUAUCGCCCCUGGAUGGGCCCGCGUCGGAUUAGCUUGUUGGUGGGGUAAUGGCUCACCAAGGCGACGAUCCGUAGCUGGUCUGAGAGGAUGAUCAGCCACACUGGGACUGAGACACGGCCCAGACUCCUACGGGAGGCAGCAGUGGGGAAUAUUGGACAAUGGGCGCAAGCCUGAUCCAGCCAUGCCGCGUGAGUGAAGAAGGCCUUAGGGUUGUAAAGCUCUUUCGGCGAGGAAGAUAAUGACGGUACUCGCAGAAGAAGCCCCGGCUAACUCCGUG
Molecule: ribosomal RNA, 458 nt
Filed under: uncultured bacterium
Lineage: Bacteria
Description: bacterial SSU rRNA
Rfam family: Bacterial small subunit ribosomal RNA
Source: RNAcentral